AGGAUUUUAGUUUAAUGUAAAAAUAUAUUCAUUGCAAGAAUAAGAUAACUGGUGUUAGAUUCUA
This 64-nucleotide transfer RNA is filed under the name Isodiametra pulchra. RNAcentral describes it as "tRNA-Ala". The record is from RNAcentral. Lineage: Eukaryota; Metazoa; Xenacoelomorpha; Acoela; Isodiametridae.